RNAcentral lists this unclassified non-coding RNA (378 nucleotides) under plant metagenome. RNAcentral describes it as "partial contains 5.8S ribosomal RNA, internal transcribed spacer 2, and large subunit ribosomal RNA". The stretch from base 1 to 105 matches the Rfam family "5.8S ribosomal RNA", at positions 50 to 154 of the family's 154-position model. The record is from RNAcentral.
GAAAUGCGAUAAGUAAUGUGAAUUGCAGAAUUCAGUGAAUCAUCGAAUCUUUGAACGCACCUUGCGCUCCUUGGUAUUCCUUGGAGCAUGCCUGUUUGAGUAUCAUGAAAUCUUCAAAGUAAAUCUUUUGUUAACUCAAUUGGUUUCUACUUUGGUAUUGGAGGUCUUUGCAGCUCCACACCUGCUCCUCUUUGUUCAUUAGCUGGAUCUCAGUGUUAUGCUUGGUUCCACUCGGCGUGAUAAGUUAUCUAUCGCUGAGGACACUGUAAAAGGUGGCCAAGGUAAAUGCAGAUGAACCGCUUCUAAUAGUCCAUUGACUUGGACAAUACUUUUAUGAUCUGAUCUCAAAUCAGGUGGGACUACCCGCUGAACUUAAGC